CCCUUAGAUGUCCUGGGCCGCACGCGCGCUACACUGAUGCAUUCAACGAGUAUUUCCUUGGCCGAGAGGCCUGGGCAAUCUUUUAAACCUGCAUCGUGAUAGGGAUAGAUUAUUGCAAUUAUUAAUCUUGAACGAGGAGUUCCUAGUAAACGCAAAUCAUCAAUUUGCAUUGAUUACGUCCCUGCCCUUUGUACACACCGCCCGUCGCUCCUACCGAUUGAGUGCUCAGGUGAAUAAUUCGGACUGCAGCAAUGUUUGGAUCCCGAACGUUGCAGCGGAAAGUUUAGUGAACCUUAUCACUUAGAGGAAGGAGAAGUCGUAACA
This 324-nucleotide ribosomal RNA is filed under the name uncultured eukaryote. RNAcentral describes it as "partial 18S ribosomal RNA". It matches the Rfam family "Eukaryotic small subunit ribosomal RNA", at positions 1470 to 1796 of the family's 1831-position model. The record is from RNAcentral.